GAUGAACGCUGGCGGCGUGCCUAAUACAUGCAAGUCGAGCGGUAAGGCUUUCACAGAUUAUUUGAACAGAUAAGUCCAUUGGGAUACUGUUUGAAAAUAUUUUUACUAGGCUAGUAAAAAUAGUCGAAUAAUGUGUGAAAGUACACGAGCGGCGGACGGCUGAGUAACGCGUAGGAACGUACCCCAAAGUGAGGGAUAAGCACCGGAAACGGUGUCUAAUACCGCAUGUGAUCUAAGGAUGAAAGCAGUAAUGCGCUUUGGGAACGGCCUGCGUCCGAUUAGCUAGUUGGUGAGGUAAUAGCUCACCAAGGCGACGAUCGGUAGCUGGUCUGAGAGGAUGAUCAGCCAGACUGGGACUGAGACACGGCCCAGACUCCUACGGGAGGCAGCAGUAGGGAAUCUUCCACAAUGGGCGAAAGCCUGAUGGAGCGACGCCGCGUGAGCGAAGAAGGCCUUCGGUUGUAAGACUCUGUCUGGAGGGACGGAAGGAA
Molecule: ribosomal RNA, 491 nt
Filed under: uncultured bacterium
Lineage: Bacteria
Description: bacterial SSU rRNA
Rfam family: Bacterial small subunit ribosomal RNA
Source: RNAcentral